Molecule: ribosomal RNA, 432 nt
Filed under: uncultured bacterium
Lineage: Bacteria
Description: partial 16S ribosomal RNA
Rfam family: Bacterial small subunit ribosomal RNA
Source: RNAcentral
CCCUCCCUCUUUCUUCAUGCCUAACACAUGCAAGUCGAACGAGACCUUCGGGUCUAGUGGCGCACGGGUGCGUAACGCGUGGGAACCUGCCCUUAGGUUCGGAAUAACUCCCCGAAAGGGGUGCUAAUACCGGAUAAUGUCUUCGGACCAAAGAUUUAUCGCCUUUGGAUGGGCCCGCGUUGGAUUAGCUAGUUGGUAGGGUAAAAGCCUACCAAGGCGACGAUCCAUAGCUGGUCUGAGAGGAUGAUCAGCCACACUGGGACUGAGACACGGCCCAGACGCCUACGGGAAGCAGCAGUGGGAAUAUUGGACAAUGGGCGAAAGCCUGAUCCAGCAAUGCCGCGUGAGUGAUGAAGGCCUUAGGGUUGUAAAGCUCUUUUACCCGGGAUGAUAAUGACAGUACCGGGAGAAUAAGCUCCGGCUAACUCCGUG